Molecule: ribosomal RNA, 463 nt
Filed under: uncultured bacterium
Lineage: Bacteria
Description: bacterial SSU rRNA
Rfam family: Bacterial small subunit ribosomal RNA
Source: RNAcentral
AGCGAACGCUGGCGGCAGGCUUAACACAUGCAAGUCGAACGGGCGUAGCAAUACGUCAGUGGCAGACGGGUGAGUAACGCGUGGGAACGUACCUUUUGGUUCGGAACAACCCAGGGAAACUUGGGCUAAUACCGGAUAAGCCCUUACGGGGAAAGAUUUAUCGCCAAUGGAUUGGCCCGCGUCUGAUUAGCUAGUUGGUGAGGUAAUGGCUCACCAAGGCGACGAUCAGUAGCUGGUCGAGAGGAUGAUCAGCCACACUGGGACUGAGACACGGCCCAGACUCCUACGGGAGGCAGCAGUGGGGAAUAUUGGACAAUGGGCGAAAGCCUGAUCCAGCCAUGCCGCGUGAUAGAUGAAGGCCCUCUGGGUUGUAAAUAUCUUUAUCUGGGAAGAAACACUCUUAUUCUUAAGAGCUUGAUGGUACCAGAGGAAUAAGCACCGGCUAACUCCGUGCCAGCAGCCG